Molecule: ribosomal RNA, 442 nt
Filed under: uncultured bacterium
Lineage: Bacteria
Description: partial 16S ribosomal RNA
Rfam family: Bacterial small subunit ribosomal RNA
Source: RNAcentral
CCUACGGGGGGCAGCAGUGGGGAAUAUUGGACAAUGGGGGGAACCCUGAUCCAGCGACGCCGCGUGAGUGAAUAAGUAUUUCGGUAUGUAAAGCUCUAUCAGCAUGGAAGAAAGAAAUGACGGUACCUGACUAAGAAGCCCCGGCUAACUACGUGCCAGCAGCCGCGGUAAUACGUAGGGGGCAAGCGUUAUCCGGAUUUAUUGGGGUUAAGGGGGGCGUAGGCGGGCUGUUCAGUCGGCGGUAAAAGCCCGGGGCUAACCCCCGGCGAGCCGAUGAAACUGGCUGUCUUGAGAUGUCGAGAGGUAUGCGGAAUGCGCGGUGUAGCGGUGAAAUGCUUAGAUAUUGCGCAGAACUCCGAUUGCGAAGGCAGCAUACCGGCGGCGAUCUGACGCUGAGGCACGAAAGCGUGGGUAUCGAACAGGAUUAGAUACCCCUGUAGUC